CUACGGGGGGCUGCAGUCGAGAAUCUUCCACAAUGGGCGAAAGCCUGAUGGAGCGACGCCGCGUGCAUGAUGAAGCUCUUCGGAGUGUAAAGUGCUUUUAUAGGGGAAAAACUUACGUGAUGGUACCCUAAGAAUAAGGGGUUGCUAAACUCGUGCCAGCAGCCGCGGUAAUACGAGUGCCCCGAGCGUUGUCCGGAAUUACUGGGCGUAAAGGGUGUGUAGGGGGCGUUGUUAGUCUUGUUUAAAAUCCUGGCGCUUAACGUCGGGUUCGGGCAGGAAACGGCAACGCUAGAGGAUGCGAGAGGCCGAUGGAACUCUGGGUGUAGGGGUGAAAUCCGUUGAUAUCCAGGGGAACACCAAAAGCGAAGGCAAUCGGCUGGCGCAUUCCUGACCCUGAGACACGAAAGCGUGGGUAGCGAAUGGGAUUAGAUACCCUUGUAGUC
RNAcentral lists this ribosomal RNA (443 nucleotides) under uncultured bacterium. RNAcentral's name for it is "partial 16S ribosomal RNA". It matches the Rfam family "Bacterial small subunit ribosomal RNA", at positions 339 to 795 of the family's 1533-position model. The record is from RNAcentral.